AUGGCCGGUUGGGGAUGGUCAGUUCCAUCACACUGCGAGGAGAUGAUUCAUGGUCAGUCGGGGAUGGUCACCUGCGGUGAGCACGAGUACCUCCUCCAUAUCCUCCCUAUACUAGCACCCUUGGCGAUGAAAAUGACAGCCAGGAGAAUCCCUCCUUCACACAUCUUUUCCAUCUCUGUCAGAUUGUCCUCUCCAGCAAGCCCGAAGGCCAACCUUAAUACUGGACCUCGAAAGGGGCAUGUGGCCAACCAUGCCGGAGGACGCAGAGGGUUGUUUGGGAAUGUUAUCAUGAGAGGACCCAAGAAGCAACCCACCACGGAUGCAUGGACCAACCACGCAAGUCCAUUCUUGCAAUCCAUCUGUGGCGAGGGUUCAUGA
This 378-nucleotide ribosomal RNA is filed under the name Triticum aestivum (bread wheat). Its description in RNAcentral is "partial small subunit ribosomal RNA". The record is from RNAcentral. Lineage: Eukaryota; Viridiplantae; Streptophyta; Magnoliopsida; Poales; Poaceae.